AUUUAUGGCUAGAAUGGAUGAGGUACAACGCCAACUCACACAAUAAGACUAAUUGUUAUGUAUGCGGAGGUGCCAGACCCCAUCUGGGUACAGUACCUCUGAGUUUACCUCCGGAAAUAGAAUUAUGUGUACUGAGUUUGUAUGCACAAUCCACCACUAACUCCUCAACAUGUGAAUCCUGGAAGAAGAUUUACCCAAUCACUCAUGGACAUGUGAAACCACCCGAUGGAGUCACCAUCUACCCAGGUAAUUACACAUGCUAUUCAAUACCAAAAAACACUGGUUUGUAUCUGGGCAAAUUCCCAUCAGGAUACUGCUCAACUUACCAUAGUCCACCUGUACCACUGCUAAUGAAUCACACAAAGACAAUCGGUGAUAUCUAUUGGUUAUGUGGUGACAAACAAUUAAGGCCCCAAUUAGCUGGGCAAUGGUGGGGGGAGUGUGCCCUAACCAAAGUCAUAAUGCCUAUCCACAUCAUUCCAGAUGGUGACCAUAACACGCUAAACCUCACACAUAUACACUCUAGAACCAAACGAGAGACCCCUAUUCGAGGGAGUUUCGACCCCCAUGUGUAUAUUGAUGCCAUAGGUGUGCCAAGGGGGGUGCCUAACGAAUUUAAAGCAAGAGAUGAAGUGGCUGCAGGGUUUGAGUCCCUAAUCCCAAUGAUAACUGCUAACAAGAAUGUCAAUUGGAUUAACUAUAUCUAUUAUAAUCAGCAACGCUUUGUCAACUACACAAGGGAUGCCCUACAGGGCCUGGCAGAGCAACUACAAGCCACUACCCAAAUGACAUUUCAGAACAGAAUGGCCCUAGAUAUGAUUCUAGCCGAAAAAGGGGGAGUAUGUAAAAUCCUCCCUGAGACCAUGACAUGCUGCACAUACAUUCCAGACAACACUGGGCCCAAUGGUAAAGUGACUAUGGCCAUAGAAAAGCUAGAUAGUCUUGCAGACGAAUUAAAGAAGAAUUCGGGAGUCACUGACAUAUGGGACAAAUGGUUUGGGUGGAUGAAUGGCUGGCAAAAGACCCUCUUUCAGGUAGGGACAGCUGUUCUCAUGGUAUUCAUUAUCUUUUUGUUCUUAGCCUGUUGUAUACUCCCCUGUAUACAGAAAUAUCUGCAGAAAGCGGUGGAUAAGACUGUAGAUAAUGUGACCCCUACCUUCAUACAUCAAGAUAUCACAGACCUUGAAGAUGACACCCCACAUACACCCCUACACACACAUCAGCUUAAACAGACAACUGCUUUUUUGUAGGGAUAGAGUAGGGAAAGCGUCUGUCUUGACAGGUGAGUCUCACGUGUGGAGAUGUAGUGGGCUAGCCACUGCGGGAUACCCGCGGAGUGAAGUGUUCGAUGCUUGUCAAGACAGAUAGGUUGCGGGCAACUAGGGACAUAUUAGGGACAGCAGCAGUUGUAAUGGUAAAUAGCCAUUUUAGG
Molecule: non-coding RNA, 1432 nt
Organism: Pelobates cultripes (western spadefoot toad)
Lineage: Eukaryota; Metazoa; Chordata; Amphibia; Anura; Pelobatidae
Source: the annotation of a GenBank genome assembly